This 301-nucleotide ribosomal RNA is filed under the name uncultured bacterium. RNAcentral's name for it is "partial 16S ribosomal RNA". It matches the Rfam family "Bacterial small subunit ribosomal RNA", at positions 509 to 807 of the family's 1533-position model. The record is from RNAcentral.
CAGCCGCCGCGGUAAUACGAAGGGUGCAAGCGUUACUCGGAAUUACUGGGCGUAAAGCGUGCGUAGGUGGUGGUUUAAGUCCGUUGUGAAAGCCCUGGGCUCAACCUGGGAAUUGCAGUGGAUACUGGGUCACUAGAGUGUGGUAGAGGAUAGUGGAAUUUCCGGUGUAGCAGUGAAAUGCGUAGAGAUCGGAAGGAACAUCUGUGGCGAAGGCGACUAUCUGGGCCAACACUGACACUGAGGCACGAAAGCGUGGGGGGCAAACAGGAUUAGAGACCCGAGUAGUCCCUGUCUCUUAUAC